RNAcentral lists this ribosomal RNA (844 nucleotides) under Campylobacter coli. RNAcentral's name for it is "partial 23S ribosomal RNA". It matches the Rfam family "Bacterial large subunit ribosomal RNA", at positions 1 to 864 of the family's 2925-position model. The record is from RNAcentral. Lineage: Bacteria; Pseudomonadati; Campylobacterota; Epsilonproteobacteria; Campylobacterales; Campylobacteraceae.
AGGUAAGCUACUAAGAGCGAAUGGUGGAUGCCUUGACUGGUAAAGGCGAUGAAGGACGUACUAGACUGCGAUAAGCUACGGGGAGCUGUCAAGAAGCUUUGAUCCGUAGAUUUCCGAAUGGGGCAACCCAAUGUAUAGAGAUAUACAUUACCUAUAUAGGAGCAAACGAGGGGAAUUGAAACAUCUUAGUACCCUCAGGAAAAGAAAUCAAUAGAGAUUGCGUCAGUAGCGGCGAGCGAAAGCGCAAGAGGGCAAACCCAGUGCUUGCACUGGGGGUUGUAGGACUGCAAUGUGCAAGAGGUGAGUUUAGCAGAACAUUCUGGAAAGUAUAGCCAUAGAGGGUGAUAGUCCCGUAUGCGAAAAACAAACCUUAGCUAGCAGUAUCCUGAGUAGGGCGGGACACGAGAAAUCCUGUCUGAAGCUGGGUCGACCACGAUCCAACCCUAAAUACUAAUACCAGAUCGAUAGUGCACAAGUACCGUGAGGGAAAGGUGAAAAGAACUGAGGUGAUCAGAGUGAAAUAGAACCUGAAACCAUUUGCUUACAAUCAUUCAGAGCCCUAUGUAGCAAUACAGGGUGAUGGACUGCCUUUUGCAUAAUGAGCCUGCGAGUUGUGGUGUCUGGCAAGGUUAAGCAAACGCGAAGCCGUAGCGAAAGCGAGUCUGAAUAGGGCGCUUAGUCAGAUGCUGCAGACCCGAAACGAAGUGAUCUAUCCAUGAGCAAGUUGAAGCUAGUGUAAGAACUAGUGGAGGACUGAACCCAUAGGCGUUGAAAAGCCCCGGGAUGACUUGUGGAUAGGGGUGAAAGGCCAAUCAAACUUCGUGAUAGCUGGUUCUCUCCGAAA